UGCUAGCGUUGCUCGGAAUCACUGGGCGUAAAGCGCACGUAGGCGGAUCUUUAAGUCAGGGGUGAAAUCCUGGAGCUCAACUCCAGAACUGCCUUUGAUACUGGGGAUCUCGAGUCCGGAAGAGGUGAGUGGAACUCCGAGUGUAGAGGUGAAAUUCGUAGAUAUUCGGAAGAACACCAGUGGCGAAGGCGGCUCACUGGUCCGGUACUGACGCUGAGGUGCGAAAGCGUGGGGAGCAAACAGG
Molecule: ribosomal RNA, 244 nt
Filed under: uncultured bacterium
Lineage: Bacteria
Description: partial 16S ribosomal RNA
Rfam family: Bacterial small subunit ribosomal RNA
Source: RNAcentral